RNAcentral lists this ribosomal RNA (320 nucleotides) under uncultured bacterium. Its description in RNAcentral is "bacterial SSU rRNA". It matches the Rfam family "Bacterial small subunit ribosomal RNA", at positions 29 to 353 of the family's 1533-position model. The record is from RNAcentral.
AUUGAACGCUGGCGGCAUGCCUUACACAUGCAAGUCGAGCGCGAAAGGGGGCAACCCCGAGUAGAGCGGCGGACGGGUGAGUAACGCAUCGGAACGUGCCCAGUAGUGGGGGACAACCUCGAGAAAUCGAGGCUAAUACCGCAUACGACCCACGGGUGAAAGCGGGGGACCGCAAGGCCUCGCGCUAUUGGAGCGGCCGAUGUCCGAUUAGCUAGUUGGCGGGGUAAGAGCCCACCAAGGCGACGAUCGGUAGCUGGUCUGAGAGGACGACCAGCCACACUGGGACUGAGACACGGCCCAGACUCCUACGGGAGGCAGCA